RNAcentral lists this long non-coding RNA (482 nucleotides) under Marmota marmota marmota (Alpine marmot). Its description in RNAcentral is "lncRNA (ENSMMMG00000017969.1)". Lineage: Eukaryota; Metazoa; Chordata; Mammalia; Rodentia; Sciuridae. The record is from RNAcentral.
GCCUGGCGGAUUCUCCGGGCAGCUUCGGGCUACCCCGUGCCCAGGCUGGCUGAACCCCGGUCACAAGCCCUAAGGGACCCCGAAGAUCCGGCCAGAGACACCACUGGGACGCGUAGUUGUCUACCGCUGGGCGAGCCGAGAUUUGUAGUUUUCAAGUGUAGCCAACUAUUCUUUUUCUUCCCCUUCCCUUCCUUGUGACUCUUCCUAGGGGAACCGGCGGGACCUUUCCGAGGCAAAACGGCGAAGUGGGUGACUCUAGGCAUUCACUCGUUUCUCAUGCCGACCCUGUUAAGCACUCUCCCACCAGAACAUCUUCAGUUAAAAAUCGGAGCAGAGGAUCUGGUCUCCCAGUUCUGUCAUUUACGUGGGACACCAUGAAGCAGCUGCCAGUCUUGGAGCCUGGAGACAAACCCAGGAAAGCAACAUGGUCUGUAAAAGAGGAUUCACUCACAUGUGCAUGCACACACACACACACACACACA